CAGAACGAACGCUGGCGGCAGGCUUAACACAUGCAAGUCGAACGAGAAAUAAGAGCUUGCUCUUAUGGACAGUGGCAGACGGGUGAGUAACGCGUGGCAACCUACCUUUCAGUACGGAACAACAGUUAGAAAUGACUGCUAAUACCGUAUACGUCCUCCGGGAGAAAGAUUCAUCGCUGAAAGAUGGGGCCGCGUUAGAUUAGCUAGUUGGUGAGGUAAGAGCUCACCAAGGCGACGAUCUAUAGCUGGUCUGAGAGGAUGAUCAGCCACACUGGGACUGAGACACGGCCCAGACUCCUACGGGAGGCAGCAGUGGGGAAUAUUGGACAAUGGGCGAAAGCCUGAUCCAGCCAUGCCGCGUGAAUGAUGAAGGCCUUAGGGUUGUAAAAUUCUUUCGCUAGGGAUGAUAAUGACAGUACCUAGUAAAGAAGCCCCGGCUAACUCCGUGCCAGCAGCCGCGGUAAUACGGAGGGGGCUAGCGUUGUUCGGAAUUACUGGGCGUAAAGCGUGCGUAGGCGGAAUGGAAAGUUAGAUGUGAAAUCCCAGGGCUCAACCCUGGAACUGCAUUUAAAACUCCCAUUCUAGAGUUCUGGAGAGGUAAGUGGAAUUCCUAGUGUAGAGGUGAAAUUCGUAGAUAUUAGGAGGAACACCAGAGGCGAAGGCGGCUUACUGGACAGAUACUGACGCUGAGGCACGAAAGUGUGGGGAGCAAACAGGAUUAGAUACCCUGGUAGUCCACACCGUAAACGAUGAGAGCUAGUUGUCUGCAUGCAUGCAUGUAGGUGACGCAGCUAACGCAUUAAGCUCUCCG
This 811-nucleotide ribosomal RNA is filed under the name uncultured Fretibacter sp. RNAcentral's name for it is "bacterial SSU rRNA". It matches the Rfam family "Bacterial small subunit ribosomal RNA", at positions 25 to 871 of the family's 1533-position model. Lineage: Bacteria; Pseudomonadati; Pseudomonadota; Alphaproteobacteria; Maricaulales; Robiginitomaculaceae. The record is from RNAcentral.